GGUGAGUAAAGAAAGAAAUGGGAGGGGGCUUUAAAAUGACAGGAUAUAGCAUUAAGCAUGGUUGAACCAGACUUAAACGUUGGCCCUGCCAGCCUUCCUGAAAAUGGAACAUUAUAGCCUUGCAAAAUCUGGAUUUCACAGUGAGAAAAAAAUCAAACAUAACACUUCUCACUCUGAAUCACUUUACCCAAAAGAGGGUUUUGAAUUGAAACCCUCAUUACUGCCAAUAACUGAGUUUACCUAAAUAAUCUCUAGCACUUUGGAAAGAGGGUAAGGCCACUGCUGUUUGGCAGAUUUAAAAAAGGCAGGAGUUGUGUCCUAGAGAAACCUUUUCUUCCCUUGAACUUUUUCAGAAAAGCUUUCCUGCUUUGGGCCCUCAUCUCCAGAGGAAUCCAUUGUGCAAAAUGUAGAAUACGGACCUAUAGAAAUAUUGGCUUAUUAACAUGUAUUUUUCUUUGGCAUUGCCCAUGCAUGCGCUAAAUGCAGACUUUUCAUUUUUGGGAAGGGUAAGGUGAGCUAUUUAAAUUUACUUGAUUUCAGGAAAUAUCCACAGAGACAUCCUAGACCCUCAAGAACCUUGCAUCUGUGUUCAAACAGUUGAAUUUAAACAAACAGUUGUGGAAGCCGGAAGUUCAAAAUCAAGAUGUCAGCAGUGUGUGUCAGUUCCUUCUGGAGUCUCGAGGAAGGAUCCGUUUGCUGCAACUCCUGAAACCUGAAGUCUGUGACUCACCAGUUCUAAGCCCCAGAGUCCUGAUGGGGCACCUCAAGGAGACACUUCAGCCACCUAAGUCAGCUGGACCACCCCAUGACACAGUCAUGGAGGUUCCAGUCUGAAUUCAGAGUCAAUGAUAAGGGAGGCUUCCGUGGCAGAGUGAAAAGCACACACCUGAGAAAUGAAAAGAAAUGGCAAAGGUCACACGUCUCAGGAUGAAUUGCACUGUGUGUGACACCCUAGCUGAAAUCCUAUCCCACAGGACCAUCAGGUCCACGAGAGAAGAGGUGUGCUCAGGAGGGCUGACUGGAAGUCUGAAGACAGCAUGGCAUACAACCAAUGGGUGGAGAGCAGGAGCCAGAGAUGACAUAUGGGAUGAGGCCUUCAUUAAAGUCCAUGGGUAUUAUCCAUCAGGCUUUCCUGUAGGGAUUGUGGAUUGGUCAAUUUAAAGAAAACACUUGUGAACAGGAGUACUUAUCUACAUGAUUCUGACAUUGAUCAUUGAGUUUUAUCAUGGACAGUAGCUGUGGGAUUUUAGGCUAGUGAGAUAGGAAUAAGCAGGCCAUAUUGCAAACAACAACAGGGGCAAGAAAAGUUUUAACUAGUCCAAAGGUGAAGGAAUAUAAACAGGUUUCCAACAGUGGAUACCAGGCCUAAAAAUGGAUGCCAAGGCAACAACUAUAUUAAACAACUUUAUGACACAUACAUUUGUCAUAUAAAUAGUCAGUCCUCUUGUAUGUAGAGAAAAAGAAUAAUGAUUAAUAUGUAACAUGUUCAGAUUUUUGCCUAAUGGAUCUGCUUUUAAGUGAAGAGGUUACAUAUUCUAAUCUGCUCUAUAAGCCACAGUCUCUGUACUUGCUAACUAUUAUUUCACCUUUAUAAUGGCCCUCUGAGGUCAGUUGUAUCGUUUUUUUUUAACAGUUAAGAAAAUGGAAACUGAGGCUGCAAGAUGUAAAGUGAUUCCAAAGAUUAGUGAAAUGCACAACUUUUCCACUAUAUGAGGCUGGCCUAAAGAAUUCCUCAAAAGAUGUGGAGUAGGAGUAGCUUUGCAUUUAUUAUGAAGUCCCACAGGCACAAAGUGCCCUCUAAAGGCAUGAUUUUUUUUUCCUGACAAUUUUUAUUGGGUCAGGACAUAAUAACAUGACAUUUUUAUGGGACUUUCAUCUCAGAAUCCCAAAGCAAUCCCAAAGCACUUAGAACACAUUAUUUAGCUCUCACAACUUAAAAGGUAGGUAGCAAAUUAUUUUGAUAGGAAAUUAACUAUAAUAAGGCUGGCAACAACAGCAUAACAAGUGCUAGUGAAUUGCCUUAAAGGAAUGCAAAGGAUUCAUAUACAUUUCCUAGGUUAGAGGAGAGGCUACUUAUUAAAGGAAAGUGGAGUGGGAACAAGAUUUGAGAAGAUUUAGGAUCUCUUUCCAUGGGUGGAUGUCUUAGAGGUAGCAAUGUUUCUUGUGCUGUGAUUAGUGAGGUUGACUAUUAACUCUCAACAAACAUAUGGUCAUGUCUUCAAAAAUAAUUUUUUUGAAAAUAUAGCUAAAGAGUAGAGUUAUGGACAUCAUUCAGUUCAACAUUUAUUUUACACCACUAUAUAAAGCUUGUGGGAUGGAUAAGAUUUGGCUAUUUUUUAAAACAUUAUUUCUUGUCUACUCCUAUGCAUGGCAUCUGAGUAGAAAAUGCUGAAAUGAGUUUUUCCUAUGCCAAUAUUCCAAGAUAUCUCUUUUCUACUGUAAUGAUAGCAAUAUUUAUUGAAAGGCACAUUUGUCUUUUCACUUCCCUCUUUACUGAAGCCUUGAGAAUAAUUCCCAAAUAGAAUCAUAGCGUUCCAUUAAUCUGAGAAACUCUUAUGAUUACUCUAUUAUAAAGUAGUAACUGGGUUAUCCCCUGAAUAAUUAAGAAUCAUUAACUUAGUCCAGGUCAUUAAAGAUGAUCUGAUGUGGAAGACAGGUGAAUUUACUCAAGUAAAACAGAAACACACAGAGAUAAGUGGCUACCAAAGUUCCCACAGCUAAAUGCUGGUGGAGAUGGGAUUCACCCUUUGAUCUCUGACUCAAAUCUGGUGCUCUUUCUCAUUCAUCCCACUGAUAAAGAAAAAUGGUUUUGAUUUUACUUUCUUUUUGCCAAGGGCUUAUGCAAUUAACUUAUUGUGUACAAUUGAUAGGGACAGGGGGCAGAGAAAUUCUAGGCAGAAAAAGGCAGGUCCCCAGCAAAACCCCACGCUGAAGCUGGAAAGCCUGAAACCAUGGCCCAAAGUGAGAACCUAUGUCUCUGUUUUCCUAUUUGAAUGUUGUCUUUUCCUAAUCCACCCAUGGCUCUCCUCCACCUUAUCCUGUGCCUAUAAAAACCCCAGACUCAGCCAGCAGAUGAGACUAUGGCUGGACAUCAGAGAGAAGCAGCUUGACUUCAGAGGGACAGCUAGACCAUAUAACUUUGGAGAACAAUCUGGCUGGAUAUGGCUGGACUUCAGGGAAAGAUUACCUAUCCACCCCAUGCAUUUUUGAGCUCCCCUUCCCACUGACAGCCACUUUCAUUGGCAAUAAAAUCCCCCUCAUUUACCAUCUUUCAAUUUGUUCACGCAACCUCAUUUUUCUGGAUGCCAGACAAGAGCUCAGGAGCCGCAAGUGCAGAUACAAAAGGCUGUCACACUAGCCCUUUGCCCUUGCUGGCAGGGGGCAGCUGUCUCACGCAAAAAGGCAGAGGACCCAUAAAAAAUGAUGAGUUCAUGUCCUUUGUAGGGACAUAGAUGAAAUUGGAAACCAUCAUUCUCAGUAAACUAUCGCAAGAACAAAAAAACCAAACACCGUAUAUUCUCACUCAUAGGUGGGAAUUGAACAAUGAGAUCACAUGGACACAGGAAGGGG
RNAcentral lists this long non-coding RNA (3570 nucleotides) under Homo sapiens (human). Its description in RNAcentral is "HSALNT0069326". Lineage: Eukaryota; Metazoa; Chordata; Mammalia; Primates; Hominidae. The record is from RNAcentral.